RNAcentral lists this ribosomal RNA (207 nucleotides) under uncultured bacterium. RNAcentral describes it as "partial 16S ribosomal RNA". It matches the Rfam family "Bacterial small subunit ribosomal RNA", at positions 1286 to 1500 of the family's 1533-position model. The record is from RNAcentral.
UCUCAGUUCGGAUCGGAGUCUGNAACCCGACUCCGUGAAGCUGGAUUCGCUAGUAAUCGCGCAUCAGCCAUGGCGCGGUGAAUACGUUCCCGGGCCUUGUACACACCGCCCGUCAAGCCAUGGAAGCCGGGGGCGCUUGAAGUGCGUUGCCGCAAGGCGCGCCCUAGAGCGAAACCGGUGACUGGGGCUAAGUCGUAACAAGGUAGC